RNAcentral lists this ribosomal RNA (404 nucleotides) under uncultured bacterium. RNAcentral's name for it is "bacterial SSU rRNA". It matches the Rfam family "Bacterial small subunit ribosomal RNA", at positions 355 to 775 of the family's 1533-position model. The record is from RNAcentral.
UGGGGAAUAUUGCACAAUGGGGGAAACCCUGAUGCAGCGACGCCGCGUGAGCGAAGAAGUAUUUCGGUAUGUAAAGCUCUAUCAGCAGGGAAGAAAUAGGACGGUACCUGACUAAGAAGCACCGGCUAAAUACGUGCCAGCAGCCGCGGUAAUACGUAUGGUGCAAGCGUUAUCCGGAUUUACUGGGUGUAAAGGGAGCGUAGACGGUUGUGUAAGUCUGAUGUGAAAGCCCGGGGCUCAACCCCGGGACUGCAUUGGAAACUAUGUAACUAGAGUGUCGGAGAGGUAAGCGGAAUUCCUAGUGUAGCGGUGAAAUGCGUAGAUAUUAGGAGGAACACCAGUGGCGAAGGCGGCUUACUGGACGAUCACUGACGUUGAGGCUCGAAAGCGUGGGGAGCAAACAG